This 67-nucleotide transfer RNA is filed under the name Sosibia gibba. RNAcentral's name for it is "tRNA-Asn". The record is from RNAcentral. Lineage: Eukaryota; Metazoa; Arthropoda; Insecta; Phasmatodea; Lonchodidae.
UUAACUGAAACCAAAAUAGAGGUAUAUCAUUGUUAAUGAUAUUAUUGAAUAAGAAAUUCCAGUUAAG